ACGGGCUGCCAGGAACACACCGAACUUUACAAACUGGGCAGGUCCGCUCGAAAGCAAAUCAUAUUAAGCAAAUCCGACCAGCUUUAAACUCAAACCUCCAAAGGUCGUGAUUACUCACCCCAAUGGGAUGGAAUCGAGAGCGGACACAAUUGCAUGCACGGUACCGAGAAUCAGAUUGAGUUGAGGGAUGGGACCCACUUGUUAGAUUUAUAUGUCCUUUUUUUCUCAAACAGUUUUGCCAGAACAUUCACGCGUAGCUGUUGGAUGAGUACGUUCCUUCGACUUCCUACAUGAUAAUGUGAAUCGUAACUCUUUGUAUAUAUAGAUUAACGUACAAUGCAGAUUAGUUGUACUUUUACCGAGCGUGCGACUUGUCGUUUGCGUGGAGAUCAAUCUCGAAGAAGAUUACUAUUGUUUGAUCAAUGCUUGUGCAUGAUUAACAUCAAUAGGUUAUGGGCCUCUACGACGUUAACCUCUGCAUCCUCUGUUCUCUUAAAUUGCUGCAUCUUUUUUGUUUCUGCCAAGACGUCCUCUGUAAAUGAAGUUGCUAAUUUGAAUUGUGCAUUGGCUCGGAUCAUCAACUCUACACUCAUAGCUCCGCUCGCUUGCCCCUGCCAUAGCAGUUAUGUAAUUUUCUUUCCGAGAGCGCCUUCUUGCCACCAAAGUCUCUUCUGAAUGCAAGAAGCACACGAUGAUUUUGGAGACUUAGCCUUUUACACUUGGGGACAAAAUAAAAAAUCUAUGCCAAUAAGUCCAACUUUGACUUCAACUUUUUUGUUCCACGCCUACUCGAUUUCUUCUCAAGAUGAAACUAGGUUUGCAGAUUUUGCCGCCACAAGACAUGUAACAAAUUGCCAGGUAUGGUUCAAAAAAUUCACUCUAAUUCCCUGAGAACACUGGCCAAUUAUAACGAUAGCAUUUUCAUGGUUGAUCAUUGUAAUUGAUCGUUUUCAACAAUCCUCCUCAAGACCAUUAUAUUGACCUCCAAAAAAACAUUUAUGGCAUAAAGAAAAUCACUUGUCAAUCGAGUAAAUUUUUUGACAUGUUUUAAAAACAAUUCAGCCUUUAUCCAUCUAUUGCCGACCCUUGUACCAACCUCAACAACAAUAUUUUUCUUCGCACAAUUGUUGGAAUUUAUGUUGACAAAUUUGUUGGUUCCAGCCCAAUAAUGUCAAAAGAAAAAGAAAAAGAAUUGUUAAGCCACUUUUAAAGUCACCAUAAGCUCCCAUGAUUAUUUUGUGGGUUUUCAAAUUCAAUGAUCCUCACCACGUAGCUUAAUCUUCUUCCAUCAUCAAUGCCAAUAUGUUAUGGCAGUUCUCAACCGCUUCUACAUGUUUGAUUAUAACCAUGUUUCCACUCUUUGCCAAAACUCGAUCUACUCAUUUUGCUAAUCUACCAGAUGAUUAGUUAACAACAAAACCAUAUACACAAUGUGAUAUCAUGCAGGAAGCCGAGAACUCGAAUGCUAAAUCAAAGCACCUGAAGGCAAUGUUUGUUUCUUUCAUCUGUCGUGCGCACGUUUUUUCGCAAAAGAGCGAAAGCAAGGUCAGGAUUGGUGCCAUUACCACCAACCUAGAAAGGAAAGGCGCUAUCCAAAGCUAAGGAGGGGUUGACCACUGUAUACUUUCCCGACUGGUACUCCGAGAUUUCACCAGGGAUAGCCCAAAAUAGACUUGGGUGUUUUGACCCUAUCACUCACGCAGAUGCUGUGGCUUGAAUCAAAUUUCCAGAACAUUUUAAAAAUAGAAUGACACUUGCGAAUAAUGGAAGACGCUGAAAACUAUCCACGCAAAACUUGUCAAAUUGAGUACGCGAUUAAAGCUGUGAAAUUCUUCGCAGAAAACUUUAAUAAUUCACACAAAAUUCCAAAUCCCAGUCAUGAUUUGAGAACGUUGAGGAGGUAAUGGAGAUCCAGUUUGUGUUGCUGAUCAAGCACACAAUCCUCUGAAACCACACUAUGUGUUCAUUCAAAAUGGUUAUAUCCUUGACUUGAGAUCUUUCACAUAUUUCGCUAAAAUUUACUCUGCUGUAUUUCAUCGAGAGUCUCAGAAAUUCGCUAAUAAUAGAAUUCAUACUGAUUCCCCUGUUCAUGGCAAAUACAGUGUUGUUCCUCUUGCUAUUUUAAUUGAAACAUGGAAGUUGGAAUAUUGCGUUUUAAAGUUGGUCUUCCAU
This 2172-nucleotide long non-coding RNA is filed under the name Physcomitrium patens. Its description in RNAcentral is "long non-coding RNA (PPAT_LNC007760)". The record is from RNAcentral. Lineage: Eukaryota; Viridiplantae; Streptophyta; Bryopsida; Funariales; Funariaceae.